RNAcentral lists this ribosomal RNA (418 nucleotides) under uncultured bacterium. RNAcentral's name for it is "bacterial SSU rRNA". It matches the Rfam family "Bacterial small subunit ribosomal RNA", at positions 28 to 443 of the family's 1533-position model. The record is from RNAcentral.
GACGAACGCUGGCGGCGUGCCUAACACAUGCAAGUCGAGCGAAUGAAGUUCCUUCGGGAACGGAUUUAGCGGCGGACGGGUGAGUAACACGUGGGCAACCUACCUCAUAGAGGGGAAUAGCCUUCCGAAAGGGAGAUUAAUGCCGCAUAAGAUUGUAGUACCGCAUGGUACAGCAAUUAAAGGAGCAAUCCGCUAUGAGAUGGGCCCGCGGCGCAUUAGCUAGUUGGUGAGGUAACGGCUCACCAAGGCGACGAUGCGUAGCCGACCUGAGAGGGUGAUCGGCCACAUUGGGACUGAGACACGGCCCAGACUCCUACGGGAGGCAGCAGUGGGGAAUAUUGCACAAUGGGGGAAACCCUGAUGCAGCAACGCCGCGUGAGUGAUGACGGCCUUCGGGUUGUAAAGCUCUGUCUUCAGG